CUCUCCGUAGCGCAGCCUGGUAGCGCACAUGCCUUGGGAGCAUGGGGUCGCUGGUUCAAAUCCAGCCGGAGAGACCA
RNAcentral lists this transfer RNA (77 nucleotides) under Candidatus Woesearchaeota archaeon. RNAcentral's name for it is "tRNA-Pro". It matches the Rfam family "tRNA". Rfam says of the family: Transfer RNA (tRNA) molecules are approximately 80 nucleotides in length. Their secondary structure includes four short double-helical elements and three loops (D, anti-codon, and T loops). Further hydrogen bonds mediate the characteristic L-shaped molecular structure. tRNAs have two regions of fundamental functional importance: the anti-codon, which is responsible for specific mRNA codon recognition, and the 3' end, to which the tRNAs corresponding amino acid is attached (by aminoacyl-tRNA synthetases). tRNAs cope with the degeneracy of the genetic code in two manners: having more than one tRNA (with a specific anti-codon) for a particular amino acid; and 'wobble' base-pairing, i.e. permitting non-standard base-pairing at the 3rd anti-codon position. Lineage: Archaea; Nanobdellati; Candidatus Woesearchaeota. The record is from RNAcentral.